GAUGAACGCUGGCGGCGUGCCUAAUACAUGCAAGUCGAGCGAACGGACGAGAAGCUUGCUUCUCUGAUGUUAGCGGCGGACGGGUGAGUAACACGUGGAUAACCUACCUAUAAGACUGGGAUAACUUCGGGAAACCGGAGCUAAUACCGGAUAAUAUUUUGAACCGCAUGGUUCAAAAGUGAAAGACGGUCUUGCUGUCACUUAUAGAUGGAUCCGCGCUGCAUUAGCUAGUUGGUAAGGUAACGGCUUACCAAGGCAACGAUGCAUAGCCGACCUGAGAGGGUGAUCGGCCACACUGGAACUGAGAAACGGUCCAGACUCCUAAGGGAGGCAGCAGUAGGGAAUCUUCCGCAAUGGGCGAAAGCAUGACGGAGCAACGCGGCGUGAGUGAUGAAGGUCUUCGGAUCGUAAAACUCUGUUAUUAGGGAAGAACAUAUGUGUAAGUAACUGUGCACAUAUUGACGGUACCUAAUCAGAAAGCCACGGCUAACUACGUG
This 497-nucleotide ribosomal RNA is filed under the name uncultured bacterium. RNAcentral describes it as "partial 16S ribosomal RNA". It matches the Rfam family "Bacterial small subunit ribosomal RNA", at positions 28 to 507 of the family's 1533-position model. The record is from RNAcentral.